RNAcentral lists this long non-coding RNA (469 nucleotides) under Bos taurus (domestic cattle). RNAcentral's name for it is "long non-coding RNA NONBTAT013526". Lineage: Eukaryota; Metazoa; Chordata; Mammalia; Artiodactyla; Bovidae. The record is from RNAcentral.
CUAAAACCUUUCUUGCAGAAAAGAAGAAAAGAAUAGACACUUAGGGAAAAUGAGAAAAAGCAAAAAUAAGUGGAUAAAUUAUUAUUCUGUUAGAUUUUUGAAAUGGUGAUAAGGUUCGUGUUCUGUCCAUUUAUAAUUUGGGAAAAGUAAGAGGCUUUCAUGGCCACAGUGUCUUUAUUUUCCCUUAUGUCAGUGGAUAAUGUGUGGUGCCAUCGCCUGUGAGUACUUCAAGCCUUAAGGUUGCUUUUUCAGAAUUAUUACUAGCUAAUACCAUCAGUAGGUCUAAUCAAAAGCAAUCAACGUAGAAGUUUAAAUUACCCACCCAUGACCUCAGCUCUGCCUCCGCCCACCCCCGCACGACGCCAGAAGAAUGGAAAGAUUCUCCACCGGAGCAAAGGAAUUAAAGGAUGCUUCAACUCAAAUAAAAAGCUAAAAGGUGGGCCUAAAGGUCUGUGAGUGCAGGAAGUGA